UACUUUAGAUCAAAUCUGCAUCCUGAGAGAUGAUGGUGGUCAUUCAAUCUGAGCAGAGAUUAUCACAGAAUACUGGGUAGAGUUCUUCGUGCUAUACAGCAGGUCCCUGUUGCCCAAUCAUUCCAUAUACCUCAGUCUGCAUGUGGCAACACCAACAGCCCAUCCCUCCCAUCCCUCAGCCUGUCCCCUUUGAUUUUCAAUUGCAAAAAUUACAACAUGGUGAUGCGUUGACUGCUGAAGCCUGAGGUGGUGAGAGAUGCAGCUGGAGGGUAGAAGGGGUCCAAGCGUGAAGAGGUAGAGCAUGUUAAGGAUGGUGCCAAUGCAAGAACACAGCGGGGCUGGAAGGGGAGAGACAGGAGCCAAUGUGUAUUUUGUGGAGAAUUUCUUAAGCUUCAUUGGGAUAACAGCAUCUUAAAGAAGACACUAUGAAGCAGGUCCCCGCCAAAGAGUUGGAGUCUAGAUAGGGUAACAUCCAAGAUUAGUGGAUCUUAACUCUGAAUGUACACUUUUGUAGAAAACUGAAACACUGCUUAAUUGCUUUUCCAGAAUUAUCUUGUGGUCACAGUUGCUCUUAUAAUUAACAAAAAGUCAAGGUUUAUAUUUCCUUGAGAAAAUUUCAAAAUUCUAAUCUGGAAAUAGCUCACACAGAAAUACAGUAAAUGAGAAGAAGGAACACUAAUAAAUUAUAAACUUGAAUCUAAUUAGCAGGGAAA
Long non-coding RNA from Phacochoerus africanus (Common warthog), 713 nucleotides. RefSeq lists it as uncharacterized. NCBI's taxonomy places the organism in Eukaryota, Metazoa, Chordata, Mammalia, Artiodactyla, Suidae. The record is from RefSeq and is a predicted model, not a curated record. The transcript has 3 exons.